This 348-nucleotide unclassified non-coding RNA is filed under the name soil metagenome. RNAcentral describes it as "partial contains 5.8S ribosomal RNA, internal transcribed spacer 2, and large subunit ribosomal RNA". The stretch from base 1 to 120 matches the Rfam family "5.8S ribosomal RNA", at positions 35 to 154 of the family's 154-position model. The record is from RNAcentral.
GAUGAAGAACGUAGCGAAAUGCGACAAGUAAUGUGAAUUGCAGAAUUCCGUGAAUCAUCGAAUCUUUGAACGCACAUUGCGCCCGCUGGUAUUCCGGCGGGCAUGCCUGUUCGAGCGUCAUUUCAACCCUCAAGCCCCCGGGUUUGGUGUUGGGGAUCGGCUCUGCCCUUCUGGGCGGUGCCGCCCCCGAAAUACAUUGGCGGUCUCGCUGCAGCCUCCAUUGCGUAGUAGCUAACACCUCGCAACUGGAACGCGGCGCGGCCAUGCCGUAAAACCCCAACUUCUGAAUGUUGACCUCGGAUCAGGUAGGAAUACCCGCUGAACUUAAGCAUAUCAAUAAGCGGAGGA